This is an RNA transcript of Prunus mume (Japanese apricot), 897 nucleotides long. It is a transcript of the gene named NADH dehydrogenase ubiquinone 1 beta subcomplex subunit 10-B-like protein (Complex I subunit NDUFS6), with no coding region annotated. Lineage: Eukaryota; Viridiplantae; Streptophyta; Magnoliopsida; Rosales; Rosaceae. The record is from RefSeq and is a predicted model, not a curated record.
AGCACCCAAAGGCAAACAACCUGUUGCAGCAACGGACAGCAGAGCUGUGAAAUCAAAGGCAAAACACAGAGAGGGAGAGAGAGAGAGAGAUCGAGUGAGUGGAAGUGUGAAAAUGGGGAGGAGGAAGGGAGUUGUGGACUUCGACGAGUCGCCGCCGGAUGACUUCGAUCCGGCGAAUCCGUACAAGGACCCGGUGGCGAUGCUGGAGAUGAGGGAGCACAUAGUGCGAGAGAAGUGGAUCGACAUCGAGAAGGCCAAGAUCAUCAGAGAGAAACUCCGCUGGUGCUACCGCAUCGAAGGCAUCAACCACCUCCAGAAGUGCCGCCACCUCGUCCACCAGUACCUCGAGUCGACUCGCGGCAUCGGUUGGGGCAAGGACCAUCGUCCUCAUGAGUUCCAUGGUCCCAAGGUGGAGGCUGUUGAGGCCGACUGAUCCUUACUUCUUUGAGAACUUUUGGAUGGUUCAUUGAAAGGUCUCAGCAAGCAGAAAGUCUUCACCUUGGAAUUCUGAUCGUCUUUAAACUGGUGAGUAAGUUUGGCGUGUGAGGAAAUGCUUAAAUUGGAGGGAAGUUGGGGAUCACAUACAUCACGAUUUGGUUGCAUUGUUGAUAUUCAGUUCUGUCUUAUCUAGACUUUGUCAUACCAGUAUUCUCUUUUCUUUCGUGUUACAGAUGAAGGCCAGAUUUCAGGCAUCGACUGUUGACUAGAUUGUUAGCUUCCAAAAAGUGAAGGUGAUUUGGACUGGGCCUGUGCCUAGAUUAAAAAAUAAAUUUCUUGUCUUUGGUUAUGCAUCAGAAAUGUUUUGCGUUGCUAAAUUGAUAAGAAAAAACAGUUGUUAACUUUCCAAUGCAUUUGCUUAAAGGGAAUGGUGAAUGGAGCUUUAGUUAUUGUAGCAUA